UUUCUCACUUCAGAAGCACAUCUAUUAAAAUGAACCACAAUAUGGAGAAGAUUAGCGUGGCACCUAUACAGUAAUAACAUACAAAUUGGUGAAGUGUUCCAUAUUUUU
RNAcentral lists this small nuclear RNA (108 nucleotides) under Jaculus jaculus (lesser Egyptian jerboa). The record is from RNAcentral. Lineage: Eukaryota; Metazoa; Chordata; Mammalia; Rodentia; Dipodidae.